RNAcentral lists this ribosomal RNA (261 nucleotides) under uncultured prokaryote. RNAcentral's name for it is "partial 16S ribosomal RNA". It matches the Rfam family "Bacterial small subunit ribosomal RNA", at positions 524 to 784 of the family's 1533-position model. The record is from RNAcentral.
UACGUAGGUGGCGAGCGUUAUCCGGAUUUACUGGGUGUAAAGGGCGUGUAGGCGGGUUUGCAAGUCGGGUGUGAAAGAUCCAGGCUUAACUUGGAGAGGUCAUCCGAAACUGCAGAUCUUGAGUGCUGGAGAGGAUAGUGGAAUUCCUGGUGUAGCGGUAAAAUGCGUAGAUAUCAGGAGGAACACCAGUGGCGAAGGCGGCUAUCUGGACCAGCACUGACACUGAGGCACGAAAGCGUGGGGAGCAAACAGGAUUAGAUA